RNAcentral lists this ribosomal RNA (371 nucleotides) under uncultured organism. RNAcentral describes it as "bacterial SSU rRNA". It matches the Rfam family "Bacterial small subunit ribosomal RNA", at positions 526 to 896 of the family's 1533-position model. The record is from RNAcentral.
CGUAGGGUGCAGGCGUUAAUCGGAAUUACUGGGCGUAAAGCGUGCGCAGGCGGUUUCUUAAGUCAGAUGUGAAAGCCCCGGGCUUAACCUGGGAACUGCGUUUGAAACUGGGAGACUAGAGUGUGGCAGAGGGGGGUGGAAUUCCACGUGUAGCAGUGAAAUGCGUAGAUAUGUGGAGGAACACCGAUGGCGAAGGCAGCCCCCUGGGCUAACACUGACGCUCAUGCACGAAAGCGUGGGGAGCAAACAGGAUUAGAUACCCUGGUAGUCCACGCCCUAAACGAUGUCAACUGGUUGUCGGGGGAUUAAUUCCCUUGGUAACGAAGCUAACGCGUGAAGUUGACCGCCUGGGGAGUACGGCCGCAAGGUUG